This 249-nucleotide long non-coding RNA is filed under the name Carica papaya (papaya). RNAcentral's name for it is "long non-coding RNA (CPAP_LNC009882)". Lineage: Eukaryota; Viridiplantae; Streptophyta; Magnoliopsida; Brassicales; Caricaceae. The record is from RNAcentral.
CAAUAACAUCAUCAUCAUCACGAAAUCAUAGAAACUGUAUAACAUAAUACUUAUCAUGCCUUUUGCAUCUCAAUCAUUACACAACAUAUUUUUCCUUAUUUACCAGCCUACUAGUAUCCAUGAGGAUCCAUAGGGGUCCCACUACCCGUGAACCCUUAACACUUGUAAUCAGAUUCCAGGGCCGUCCCCAUACCUCGUCCGGUAUGGGCGCCAAAACACAUAAGAUCUCUAUACCCCGUCCAGUAUGAG